Long non-coding RNA from Carassius auratus (goldfish), 193 nucleotides. RefSeq lists it as uncharacterized. The transcript has 2 exons. The record is from RefSeq and is a predicted model, not a curated record. Lineage: Eukaryota; Metazoa; Chordata; Actinopteri; Cypriniformes; Cyprinidae.
UCUACUGGAGGAUCCACACUGUAAACUGAAGAAACUACUUAUUUGACAGUGGAAACUCCACGAGCUCCAAACAACUGAAUCAAAACAACACGUCUUGAACAAGACUGUCACAUGGACAUUAACCCCCUGGGGUCGAAGCAUCAGUGCGGUCUGUGUAAUAUUUUCUUGAUGACCGUGAACAGAACUAAAAAUA